Molecule: ribosomal RNA, 906 nt
Filed under: Leptogium bacatum
Lineage: Eukaryota; Fungi; Ascomycota; Lecanoromycetes; Peltigerales; Collemataceae
Description: Leptogium sp. BM-2021a partial large subunit ribosomal RNA
Rfam family: Eukaryotic large subunit ribosomal RNA
Source: RNAcentral
UCGGGGCGCGCCGCCGGUCCGAGUGCCUUGGAACAGGCCGCCGUGGAGGGUGAGAGCCCCGUACGCGGCCGGCGGACCGUCCCCGCACGAAGCCCUUUCGACGAGUCGAGUUGUUUGGGAAUGCAGCUCCAAGCGGGUGGUAAAUUCCAUCUAAAGCUAAAUACAGGCCGGAGACCGAUAGCGCACAAGUAGAGUGAUCGAAAGAUGAAAAGCACCUUGAAAAGGGGGUCAAACAGCACGUGAAAUUGCUGAGAGGGAAGCGCUGGCCCCCAGACCUGCUGCGCGGGCGAUCCCCCGCGGGCUUCGCGGGGGAUCCUCGCCCGCGUUCAGGCCAGCACGGGUCCAGGCGGCGGGACAAAGCGCCUGGGAAUGUAACUCCCUCCGGGGAGCCUUAUAGCCCGGGCGGUCAUGCCGCCCGCCCGGACCGAGGACCGCGCUUCGGCGAGGGUGCUGGCGUAAUGGGGGUCAGCGACCCGUCUUGAAACACGGACCAAGGAGUCUAACGUCCCCGCGAGUGUUCGGGCGUCAAACCCCCGGCGCGGAAUGAAAGUGAACGGAGGUGGGAGCCCCGCGAGGGGCGCACCAUCGACCGAUCCAGAUGUCUUCGGAUGGAUUUGAGUACGAGCGCGGCCGUUGGGACCCGAAAGAUGGUGAACUAUGCCUGGGUAGGGUGAAGCCAGAGGAAACUCUGGUGGAGGCUCGCAGCGGUUCUGACGUGCAAAUCGAUCGUCAAACCUGGGCAUAGGGGCGAAAGACUAAUCGAACCAUCUAGUAGCUGGUUCCUGUCGAAGUUUCCCUCAGGAUAGCAGUCGCGCGGGCGGUUUUAUGAGGUAAAGCGAAUGAUUAGAGGCCUUGGGGGUGCAACACCCUUAACCUAUUCUCAAACUUUAAAUAUGUAAGAAGCCC